UACGAAGGGGGCUAGCGUUGUUCGGAAUUACUGGGCGUAAAGCGCACGUAGGCGGAUAUUUAAGUUAGGGGUGAAAUCCCAGGGCUCAACCCUGGAACUGCCUUUAAUACUGGGUAUCUCGAGUCCGAGAGAGGUGAGUGGAAUUCCGAGUGUAGAGGUGAAAUUCGUAGAUAUUCGGAAGAACACCAGUGGCGAAGGCGGCUCACUGGCCCGGUACUGACGCUGAGAUACGAAAGCGUGGGGAGCAAACAGG
This 253-nucleotide ribosomal RNA is filed under the name uncultured bacterium. Its description in RNAcentral is "partial 16S ribosomal RNA". It matches the Rfam family "Bacterial small subunit ribosomal RNA", at positions 524 to 776 of the family's 1533-position model. The record is from RNAcentral.